RNAcentral lists this unclassified non-coding RNA (339 nucleotides) under soil metagenome. Its description in RNAcentral is "partial contains 5.8S ribosomal RNA, internal transcribed spacer 2, and large subunit ribosomal RNA". The stretch from base 1 to 120 matches the Rfam family "5.8S ribosomal RNA", at positions 35 to 154 of the family's 154-position model. The record is from RNAcentral.
GAUGAAGAACGUAGCGAAAUGCGAUAAGUAAUGUGAAUUGCAGAAUUCAGUGAAUCAUCGAAUCUUUGAACGCACAUUGCACCUCCCGGUAUUCCGGGAGGUAUGCCUGUUCGAGCGUCAUUUGUACCCUCAAGCUCUGCUUGGUGUUGGGUGUUUGUUCCGCCUCUGUGUGUGAACUCGCCUCAAAACAAUUGGCAGCCGGCGUACUUGUUUCGGAGCGCAGCACAUUUUGCGAUCCAGAUCAACGUACAGCGGCAUCCAAGAAGCCUUAUUUAACGCUCUUGACCUCGGAUCAGGUAGGGAUACCCGCUGAACUUAAGCAUAUCAAUAAGCGGAGGA